GUGCCAGCAGCCGCGGUAAGACGUAGGAUGCAAGCGUUGUCCGGAUUUAUUGGGCGUAAAGAGUUCGUAGGCUGUUUGUUAAGUCUGGUGUUAAAGACUGAGGCCCAACCUCGGAAAUGCAUCGGAUACUGGCAGACUUGAGUACGGUAGAGGCGAGUGGAAUUCCCAGUGUAGCGGUGAAAUGCGUAGAUAUUGGGAAGAACACCGGUGGCGUAGGCGACUCGCUGGGCCGCAACUGACGCUGAGGAACGAAAGCCAGGGGAGCGAAUGGGAUUAGAUACCCCGGUAGUCC
RNAcentral lists this ribosomal RNA (292 nucleotides) under uncultured bacterium. RNAcentral describes it as "partial 16S ribosomal RNA". It matches the Rfam family "Bacterial small subunit ribosomal RNA", at positions 505 to 796 of the family's 1533-position model. The record is from RNAcentral.